GCCCGGGGAGGGGCACGGGCGGCGGCGGCGGCGGCGGCGUCUGCCCCUGCCCCUGCCCCUGCCCCUGCCCCGGGAGAACGUCCCGCCUUACGCGCGCUCACACCGAAGCCCUUUGAACCUGCAGGGGGACAAGAAGUUGGCCUUUCCUUCCUGGGCCACCUGCAGGAAACUCACGGCACCUGUAGUGUCUCGUUUGUUUGGUUUGACCUUACUGGCUUCCGUGCGGCAGACCGCAGCCUGGACCUAGCCGCCUGGCCGCGAAGCUCCCUCCGAUUUGGGCCUUACGCGUGGUGCGGCAGCCGGGAAGCCGGGAAGCCGGAGAAGGCCCCUCGGAGGACACUGGCCUUGCAGAAGGAAACGCCAGCCUCCAGUGACGCGCUGGGCCUUUGUUGGAGGCCUCUCCUGCACCAGGCGCUGACUGGGCUCUGGGACACAUCCGUGAAUAAAACGGGGAUCCCCAUCCUCCUGGCGCCUACGUCGGGUGGGUAGAGCAGACAACAUGCGGGUUAAAAGAGAAGUUCUUCGGGACGUUAGAAAAGGGAUAAGUGGCAUGAAAAACGAAGUAGAGACGGAAAGCAUUCAGGAAGUGGGGAGGACUCGGAGUAGGGGGAAAGGCAAGCUAGGACCUGCUGGGAAGGUGGGAAUCAGCCAACCUAAAAGAGGACAGUUAGCUGUGGGCGACUAGGCUGCGCCCCAGGCAGGAGGAAAAGCUAGAGCCAAGCAAGGCCCUGCACCUGUUACGUGUUGGUGCCGGAGCAGGGCCGGCGGGUGUGGUGGGAGCAGAGCGAACAAGGCAGGAGGCCGGAGAUGGGGUUCAUGUGAUGGAGGGACGAGGAAGAUCACAUAGGGUCUUGUAGGACACAAAGAACUGCUUUUUAUUUUGAGUGAAGUCAGUGACCACCACAGGGUUUUGAACAGAAAAGUACGACUUGACGCUUUAAAAAGACUAUACCGAUUAGGAGGCUACUGCAGUAGUGAGGAGGUAUAUGAUGGAGCCUGGAACCAGGAUGGUGCGAGUCCAUUCGGUGAGAAGGAGGAGAAGCCCAGGUCUCUCUUCAAGGUAGAGUCGAUUGAGUUGGAUGGAUUCGAUACGGGAUGUGAGAGAAAGCAAACCAUGAAGGAUGAUACCAAUCUCAUGAAUUAAACAUGUAAGAAAUUUAAAACUAUGCCCAGUACUAUAAUAUUCUCAUUAACUCCAGUGACUACAGUGGUGACUGCGCAUACCAGUUUCAGCAUCCAAAAUGAUGCAUUUUUUAAAUUACACAUUUGUGGAUGUUCACCAAAUGAGUCAAGUAUUGAAAGAGUUUGCAGUCUAGUUGGGAUAUAAGACAAAUAAGUACAUCAGAUAUUCACACUGCAAGAUGGCAUAUUUUGAAAGUAACAAGUUCUGUAAUGCAUAUGACAGGAGCCCCCGAGUUGAACCCAACAGGUAAAUGCUAGAAUGAGGACAGGUUUGAAAGAUUGACAGCAAUGAGCAGCGGGAACAGUUGGACCUCACAAAGGUAGCAAGAUAGGAGGAGUUCAGAGCAUGUCACCUCAAAAUACGCUGCUUCGACAUACUGAUUAUUUUGUACUAAAUGCACCUGAGAAGCAGUAGAUGUAGGAAGGGCACUCUGACCCUCCUUUUUUUAAUUCCUGAAAGCAGGGAAUAAAACUCCCUUAUAGUAGGUCCCCUCCCUGAACCUGGAAUAAAGAAGAUAUUCUUAUUGCUGGAAAAAAGGAAUUGAGGAAUGGAUGUGAUAAUGACCUAAACAUUUAUUCCUGAGGGGUCAUAGACUUGAGUCAUCAUACCCUUCUUAGUCUGCAGUUACUGCAUGUGUCCAUUCACAGUUACCAUUGGGCAAGGGCAUCCCAAGGGGCAUCCAAGUGGAUGACCUGGGCUCCAUAUGUAUUCUUUCUCUCUACUGUGUGAAAGGAGCCCCAUCUCUUUUCACUAAUGAGUCAAUUAUCCUUGGUUGCUGGCCCCUAGGUGCAAAGGGUUAAAAGUCCCCUAUUACAAAAUAUCUCAUAUUUCAGUAGAUCACUAUUGUGCCCCCUGGCAAGAAAGAAAACCUCGAGGACUAGGAUUUCUAACUCUGCUCAGCCCAGAGUUGUGGGAGGUGAAGCAGAGUGUUCCCCGUGGGUUAUUGGGAGUGAUUGUAAAUGAGACCAUCCGGCUUUCACCACUUGGUUGCCAGAUCCAUAUAUUUUUCCUAUUAGAAACAUAGUGCCAUACAGAGAUCUCUGAUUUAGUGCCUAUGCUAUAUACGGAGGGAUUAUGCACCAUCAUUGUCGAGUAUUGUCUUUGAACAGCUGAUUUAGCUGAUAUACUUUAGUACCCUUUCCAGUACUGUAUGACGGUAGUUUCAUAGUACACGGUUGCAGUAGUACAGUUUAUGAUGUAACAAUUGGAUCUCAUAGAUAUGGGGCCACUUCUAUACUUCAUUCUCUGUGAAUUUGGUAUUUUUAUGAAUGUUGUGCUAUAUAGGAUUCUGUGCCUAUAGAGUUAGCACUUCUAGCCCAGGUUUGGGAGACCAGAAAAGCCAGUUCGCAUCCCUUCUGUGUUCAAUCCGGGAGGCAUGGAGUGCUGUGAACUCCACAGUGGAUCUGAAAGUAUGGCAGUUGAAAGGUGUCAGUCAUGUGUGCUUCCCGCAGGCAGGUGUUUUUGCAAGGGUAUCUGAGUGGUUCACCCCCAUGGCCACCACACUGAUACAAAAUGACUUUCACAGAAUCACAUGAUGAGGAGCAGGAAUGUUUACCCUACCUGUUUCACAUUGUGUCCUGUUGGAGUUAGAAAGGUAGAAUGAAGAGUUCUUUAAAACUUAGAAUAGUAUUUGAAGGAGAGUCAAUCUGAGGUUGUAAAAAAUCUAAAUAAUAAACAAUAGUAUUUUAAAAGAAAUGCUUUCAUUAAAUCAAAACAAAUAUAUUCAUCCUGAAUAUAGUAGCAUACUAAUACUGAAUCCUGACAGUGUCUUUAAGAGGACUCAUAAGUUAAUAGGGAAAACUUAUUUUUGAUUAGUAAUAUCCAUUUGCCUAGAAGUAUUUUGCUCAAACUUCAAGAAAAGUUGGUUUAGCAAAACCUCUAUAUGCAGAGUGUUAUAUAUGGAUAAUAUAAAGGUUACUGCAGCCCAGUCAAUGUUAACAAGUUAAUAGAUUUUAUAUCCAUAUGAAGUGAUUCCUUUUAUUGUAUCCUGAAAUGACUUGCCCAACAUAUACAUUUUAAAGGCAUUGUGAGGGGAUCCCUGGGUGGCUCAGCGCCUUGGCGCCUGCCUUUGGACCAAGGCGUGAUCCUGGAGUCUCAGGAUCGAGUCCCGCGUCAGGCUCCAGGAGCCUGCUUUUCUCCCUCUGACUGUGUCUCUGCCUCUCUCUCUCUCUCUCUCUUUCUCUCUCUCUCUGUCUUUCAUUAAAAAA
RNAcentral lists this long non-coding RNA (3390 nucleotides) under Canis lupus familiaris (dog). RNAcentral describes it as "lncRNA (ENSCAFG00000057915.1)". Lineage: Eukaryota; Metazoa; Chordata; Mammalia; Carnivora; Canidae. The record is from RNAcentral.